GUGUCAGCCGCCGCGGUAAGACAGAGGUGCCAAGCGUUAGGCGGAAUCACUGGGCUUAAAGCGUGUGUAGGCGGACUUCUAAGUGCCUUGUGAAAUCCCACGGCUCAACCGUGGAAUGGCUGGGCAGACUGGGAGUCUUGAGCUGCCUAGGGGCGACUGGAACAAGCGGUGGAGCGGUGAAAUGCGUAGAUAUCGCUUGGAACGCCUGCGGUGAAAACGGGUCGCUGGGGGCAAGCUGACGCUGAGACACGAAAGCCAGGGGAGCAAACGGGAUUAGAUACCCCAGUAGUCC
Molecule: ribosomal RNA, 292 nt
Filed under: uncultured bacterium
Lineage: Bacteria
Description: partial 16S ribosomal RNA
Rfam family: Bacterial small subunit ribosomal RNA
Source: RNAcentral